This 777-nucleotide long non-coding RNA is filed under the name Hordeum vulgare. Its description in RNAcentral is "long non-coding RNA (HVUL_LNC017737)". Lineage: Eukaryota; Viridiplantae; Streptophyta; Magnoliopsida; Poales; Poaceae. The record is from RNAcentral.
UGACCAAAAGAUAAUGUAAUCUACGAAGGUGUUGUUCAUCUCAUAGAUAGUUCUAUGUAUCUUACAAUUUGUUGAUCUCUUGGCCUUACGGGAAGGCAUUCAGUCUAUGUGUAGUGAUCUUUUGGUUCGUUGUGGAUAUUUUACAGUUUUGGGGGCUCUUGAUUCCAUGUUUUAUAACAUCUUUAUGCAAUGUUACUAGGUAGGCGAUUUGAUGUUGAUGACCAAAAAAUAUUGCACUUUAGGAAUUUAGUAUUCAUCUCAUAGAUGGUACUAUGUAUUCUACAGUUUUUUGGUCUCUUGCCCUUGCGGAAAGGUAUUCAGUCCAUGUCUUGUGAUGUUCCAGUUCAUCGUGAAUAGUUUGCAGUUUCUGAGUCGCUUGAUAUGCUUAUUUGGCAUCUGUAUGCAACUGCAUUGGGUAUCAUCCCAAAUAGUUCAAGGUUCAUUGUCUGGAGCUAGAAAAAUAUAUGCAUAGAACUGUUGAUGUACACCCUAGGUUGUACAUGAAAUUCUGGGCAGAUCUAGAGGGGUUAGACUUACAUAGCAGAUUUUCUAUUUCAGUUUGCCUCUGCUCUAGAAAAUUGAAAUGAUGUACCCCACGCUUAAAAAAAAUGGUUCUACCUAGCAGCUUUUAUGAGUUUUGAAAGUUGUGCAUUCAACUUAUAUAUAAUCUUGCGAUCCUUCCUACAAUGCUUGGAGGGAUAACAUAGGGUUGUUCUCCAUUCACUCAUGUCAAUCCAUCUUAUUGUUUUUAGGACACAUUUCUCAUCCCCUGAUAAU